CUGCAAGCCUGGGGUCGCCUCUGGCCCUCUCUGGUCCACCGUGCCUAGCUGGUGAUAGCAGGAGUUCUGUUAUUACAUAAAUCAGCUGAAGAAACCGAGGCAGAGAGGUGAAGACCAUCACCUGGCCCAGACCAAGCCCUUCACCAUUAAGAAAUGUAACAGGACCCACUGCGCACCUGCACCCUUCUAGACUCUGACGUUUCCACAGGGAACAAAACAGGAGAUUCCAGCCUCGUAGGACACCAGCGAGAGCACCUCCAGGAGAAGCCAGCAGGGUGACAGGAAUGGCCCCUCGAAGGAGGUGACACCUGAGCAGAGACCUGAGGGAGGGACAGGUCACAUACUGGACACGCUCCCAUCAGCUGGACACCCACCCCAAUCGAUACCCACUACGCAAGUGGACCCCAAACCUGGGCAGCAGGCAAAGUCAAAAGCAGUCCAGGGAGCCAGGGUCCAAAAGCUGGAGACAUUUCUGAAGGUUGUCAAUCUGUGAGGACAGACAUAGAGCCUGGAACUGAAGAUUUGGAUAACCCACGUGCACUGGGGCCAAGAGAUA
This is a long non-coding RNA of Symphalangus syndactylus (siamang), 556 nucleotides long. RefSeq lists it as uncharacterized. The record is from RefSeq and is a predicted model, not a curated record. Lineage: Eukaryota; Metazoa; Chordata; Mammalia; Primates; Hylobatidae.